UAGCGGCUUAGUUAGGAGGUGCACAUUAAUCGGAUCCAAAUUCGUUUUUGGAUCCAUUCGGAGAAAGGCCUUUUGAAGGGACUCUGCGUUUCUUAUCGAUUGUUCCUCAAGCAGCCAUUCACAUUC
This is a non-coding RNA of Vigna angularis (adzuki bean), 126 nucleotides long. The record is from Rfam. Lineage: Eukaryota; Viridiplantae; Streptophyta; Magnoliopsida; Fabales; Fabaceae.